UGCCUUUCUCGUACACUAAGUGUACUGGAAAGGCUAUAUGUUCACUCCAAAAAUGACUUUUUGAUAGAAGGCUCGGAGGGUCGAGUCACAUAUACCAAUCGACUCAGCUCGACGAAUUGAGGUGAUGUCUGUGUGUGUGUAUGUGUGUAUGUGU
Long non-coding RNA from Aedes albopictus (Asian tiger mosquito), 154 nucleotides. RefSeq lists it as uncharacterized. The transcript has 2 exons. NCBI's taxonomy places the organism in Eukaryota, Metazoa, Arthropoda, Insecta, Diptera, Culicidae. The record is from RefSeq and is a predicted model, not a curated record.